This 482-nucleotide ribosomal RNA is filed under the name uncultured bacterium. RNAcentral's name for it is "bacterial SSU rRNA". It matches the Rfam family "Bacterial small subunit ribosomal RNA", at positions 30 to 507 of the family's 1533-position model. The record is from RNAcentral.
AUUGAACGCUGGCGGAAUGCUUUACACAUGCAAGUCGAACGGUAACAGGUCUUCGGACGCUGACGAGUGGCGAACGGGUGAGUAAUAUAUCGGAACGUGCCCAGUCGUGGGGGAUAACGUAGCGAAAGUUACGCUAAUACCGCAUACGAUCUAUGGAUGAAAGCGGGGGAUCGCAAGACCUCGCGCGAUUGGAGCGGCCGAUAUCAGAUUAGGUAGUUGGUGGGGUAAAGGCUCACCAAGCCAACGAUCUGUAGCUGGUCUGAGAGGACGACCAGCCACACUGGAACUGAGACACGGUCCAGACUCCUACGGGAGGCAGCAGUGGGGAAUUUUGGACAAUGGACGCAAGUCUGAUCCAGCCAUUCCGCGUGCAGGAUGAAGGCCCUCGGGUUGUAAACUGCUUUUGUACGGAACGAAAAGGUCUCUCCUAAUACGAGGGGCUCAUGACGGUACCGUAAGAAUAAGCACCGGCUAACUACGUG